This 478-nucleotide ribosomal RNA is filed under the name uncultured bacterium. RNAcentral's name for it is "partial 16S ribosomal RNA". It matches the Rfam family "Bacterial small subunit ribosomal RNA", at positions 28 to 523 of the family's 1533-position model. The record is from RNAcentral.
GACGAACGCUGGCGGCGUGCUUAACACAUGCAAGUCGAACGGUAAGGCCCUUCGGGGUACACGAGUGGCGAACGGGUGAGUAACACGUGGGUGAUCUGCCCUGCACUUCGGGAUAAGCCUGGGAAACUGGGUCUAAUACCGGAUAGGACCACUGCCUGCAUGGGUGGUGGUGGAAAGCUUUUGCGGUGUGGGAUGGGCCCGCGGCCUAUCAGCUUGUUGGUGGGGUGAUGGCCUACCAAGGCGACGACGGGUAGCCGGCCUGAGAGGGUGACCGGCCAGACUGGGACUGAGAUACGGCCCAGACUCCUACGGGAGGCAGCAGUGGGGAAUAGUGCACAAUGGGCGCAAGCCUGAUGCAGCGACGCCGCGUGAGGGAUGACGGCCUUCGGGUUGUAAACCUCUUUCAGCACCGACGAAGCGCAAGUGACGGUAGGUGCAGAAGAAGGACCGGCCAACUACGUGCCAGCAGCCGCGGUAA